This 541-nucleotide non-coding RNA is filed under the name Pongo abelii (Sumatran orangutan). Lineage: Eukaryota; Metazoa; Chordata; Mammalia; Primates; Hominidae. The record is from RNAcentral.
CUAUGAAAGUAUAACCUUUCCCUUUUUUCAAAAUAAGCAUUAGCGUCAUUAAAUUCAUUACUCCUCGCCCCCCUUUUUUUAUUGCUGGCAUCAUAUACACAAAAUUCAAUAAUAGAAAUGUUUAACUGUCUGAAAUUAUUUUCUGGCCAUUAUCAUCAUCAUUAUUAUUUAUUUCUUAAUUACUGAAAUAAUUUUGUUACUAUAGAAGAGGGGAGUAUUUUAAAAAAUCUACUCCUGAGCUGGGCAUGGUGGCUCACGCCUAUAAUCCCAACACUUUGGGAGGUCGAGGCGGGUGGAUCACCUGAGUCAUAUUUUCCAUUUAGUAAAAUGAACAUCUGGCUGCUGCAUGAUGCCUUUUGUGUACCGUCACCUAAGCCACAAUUACCUGCAAGGUAAUUCAUACCACUACAGCACGGUGCAAAAACUACAGGGUUGGUUUGGGAUGGUGAAAGUCAGCCAUCUUAGUUUCAAUCUUACAUGCAAAUUCUGAUGAAGAAAAGCCACUACCAGCAGGUCCACACACACUCACAAAGAACUCAUA